GGUGGGGGGAAAGGAAAGCAAGAUUGCACGCAUGCGUAGUCGGCCCAAGCACGCUCUUUCUCCAUCCCUGCCCCGCCUCCUCUCUUCUCAACCGCUUUUCAAGAGCUGUUGGGGAAGUGUUUGGGCUUCUGACUCAAAGUGAAAGGACUGAGUAUAGGGAGUUGAACAUCACCGCUGUGACCACCUCUCUGGAUUUGUGACUACCUACAUAACUCAGUAUCCCUGAAAGUUAUAAUUCAGAUGUGUGAACUGGGCAUGGAUCAAUUACUGGAUAUCAAUUGAGUAUCAAGGAGCAAAAAAUACAAGGUAAAGAAUACAUACUUUUUACAUGUUCUUCAUAUAUUCUUAAGAAGACAACAUGAGCUGGGAAUUGGGGUUGGAAAUUUCAUCAAAUGGCAAAAGGAAUCUUGUACAAUAUAAGAACCCACCAUCUAUAUUUGGUUCAUUGAUCAAGCCUAUUUUGAUUUUGUCCAUCUUGAGUCUUCCACCAUCUUGCCUCUCCCUUUCAGCUUUGUGUCAGCUACAAAUAUGAUGAGUACCAUCAGUGUUCUUAUGUAAGUCAUUCAUAAAAAGGUUAAAAAGCAAAUAGUGAAGAAAAGAUCUUUGAGGUACUCCACUAGAAAUCUCCCAAGUUAAAAUUGAACGAUUAAGUGAUUACUAAUUAAAUUUAGAUCUAGCCAAUGAAUCACUUGUGAAUAUACUAAUCCACCAUCAUCUAUCCCACAUUAAGACAUCUUUUCCAUAAGAUUAGCAUAUAUAAAUUUUUCAGAUGAUUUGUGGACUUCUAGGUGUACUAUAACUACACCAUUAAUAGGAAGUAUGAUAAUUUCCCAUGAAUUAAAAUUUAGCCCAUAGGUCUGUGGUUCACAAAUUAUAUUAUGUUUCUUUCUCCCUCUGAAAAUUGGGACAUUUGUCCAGCUCCAGUCCAAUGGUACUUCUCUCCUUAUCUAUAUCUAUAUCAGUCUAUCCAUAAGCAAUUAACAUAAACAUUCUACAGUUGUGUAGAUCUGACUGUGUUUGAAAAAUGUUUUAUAGUUAUGUUCAUAUAGUUUGUCUUAGACUUCCAAACUUUUAUAUUGACUACAGCUAUUUUAAGUGGAAUUUUUCUUUUUAUCUCUUGUUGCUGGAUUUUGAUGGUAAUAUGCUGAUGGUUAUGCUGAUAAUAAUGUUGAUAAUUUAGAUGUGAAAUUUAGCUAAAGUUAUUAAUAAUUUCAAAUAGUUUUUUAUCGA
Sarcophilus harrisii (Tasmanian devil) is the source of this 1230-nucleotide long non-coding RNA. RefSeq lists it as uncharacterized. The transcript has 3 exons. NCBI's taxonomy places the organism in Eukaryota, Metazoa, Chordata, Mammalia, Dasyuromorphia, Dasyuridae. The record is from RefSeq and is a predicted model, not a curated record.